CCUACGGGUGGCAGCAGUGGGGGAUAUUGCACAAUGGAGGGAACCCUGAUGCAGCGACGCCGCGUGGGGGAAGAAGCGCCUAUGCGCGGUAAGCCCUGUCAGUAGGGAAGAAAACGACGGUACCUGAAGCAGAAGCACAGGCUCACUACGUGCAAGCACCCGCGGUAAUACGUAGGCGGCCAGCGUUAUCCGGAUGAACUGGGCGUUAAGGGGGCGCAGACGGCGAUGCAAGCCAGGAGUGAAAGCCCGGGGCCCAACCCUAGGACUGCUCUUGGAACUGCGUGGCUGGAGUGCAGGUGGGGCAGGCGGAAUUCGUGGUGUAGCGGUGAAAUGCGUAGAUAUCAGGAAGAACACCGAUGGCGAAGGCAGCCUGCUGAACUGCAACUGACGUUGAGGCCCGAAAGCGUGGGGAGCAAACAGGAUUAGAUACCCGAGUAGUC
Molecule: ribosomal RNA, 440 nt
Filed under: uncultured bacterium
Lineage: Bacteria
Description: partial 16S ribosomal RNA
Rfam family: Bacterial small subunit ribosomal RNA
Source: RNAcentral